UCUUGGAAAUCUUGCACAGAGACCCUGCACGGAGUUAUAAGCAGUAGCCAAAAAUCGUCAUGUCUAAAUGUUAGCUUGCUGGUGGAGUUUAGCAUACAUAUAUCAUUAUAUGUAUAUAUCCUGCUAUAAAUUUUGCGUGUACCUACACACUUGUUACUGAAAACUGUCAGUGUCGAGUCUGUCAACAUCAGUCAUCACAGUGACAUGUAUAGUUGCUACUACUCUCUAGCCUAGACUAGGUCGAUAUGCACAUGUUGGGAAGAUCAGUUAGAAAGCGAAAAGUGCGACCUUGCUUGGCUACAGAACACCACAAGGGUUGUAACAAUUGGACCAGAGACAUAGACAACAAUCAGACAAUGACGUGCACAGUUUUUACAGAUGGGUCACCAGACUGGACUGGAUUCACGACUCAUCACGCCACUAACUCAACUCCUUUAGGUCACAUACAUUUGUACAUCGGAUCAUCAUCAGACGUCAUUUAUGCAAACCCCCAGAGCUCUGCAUCAGUAUGUUCCAUUUGAUAAUUUACCAGGUAAUCGUCAGAUUUACAAAAACAGUAUAUUACUUUUAAGUUAAACCCCUACGUGUACAUGUGAUUCUAACAAAUAACAAACAUAUGUAUAAAGAUAUAAGGCAACUUUUUUCCAAUCUUAUGGUUUAGAUGUAGAUUUGUGUAAUGAUUAUUUCUCAGUUUCUAAACUUAAAUCCACAAAAUAUUGCUGAAUGUGUUAUUUUUAUAUGGAAUGCCGCAUCAUUCGUUAGAAAUAAGAAACAAUUCUUAAUAAUAAGGUUACAGUUAUAUAUUAUUAUUAUAAUUAUAUAUAUAUAAAUAUAUUACAUGUGAAACUUUUAAA
Molecule: long non-coding RNA, 854 nt
Organism: Mytilus californianus (California mussel)
Lineage: Eukaryota; Metazoa; Mollusca; Bivalvia; Mytilida; Mytilidae
Exons: 2
Source: RefSeq, a predicted model, not a curated record